RNAcentral lists this ribosomal RNA (464 nucleotides) under uncultured Verrucomicrobiota bacterium. Its description in RNAcentral is "bacterial SSU rRNA". It matches the Rfam family "Bacterial small subunit ribosomal RNA", at positions 355 to 812 of the family's 1533-position model. Lineage: Bacteria; Pseudomonadati; Verrucomicrobiota. The record is from RNAcentral.
UCGAGAAUUUUUCACAAUGGGCGCAAGCCUGAUGGAGCGACGCCGCGUGGGGGAUGAAGGGCUCCGGCCCGUAAACCCCUGUCAUUCGGGAUCAAUCCCUGCAGUCGAACACAUUGCAGGUUGAUAGUACUGAAAGAGGAAGGGACGGCUAACUCUGUGCCAGCAGCCGCGGUAAUACAGAGGUCCCAAGCGUUGUUCGGAUUCACUGGGCGUAAAGGGUGCGUAGGCGGUCGGGGAGGUCUGACGUGAAAUCUCCAAGCUCAACUUGGAAAUGGCGUCGGGUACUCUCUGGCUUGAGGAAUGGAGGGGAGACUGGAAUUCUCGGUGUAGCAGUGAAAUGCGUAGAUAUCGAGAGGAACACCAGUGGCGAAGGCGAGUCUCUGGACAUUUCCUGACGCUGAGGCACGAAAGCCAGGGGAGCAAACGGGAUUAGAUACCCCGGUAGUCCUGGCUGUAAACGGUGC